UUUAUUAAAACAAAACCAAUCGGCUUCGGUCGUUUCUUGUGUGACUCUGAAUAACUUUGCUGAUCGUACAGUCUUUGCACUGACCACACCUCUUUCGUGUGUCUGCCUUAUCCUUUUUCCACGGGAGUUUCUGUGCCCACCGUGGUUGUCACGGGACACGGAAUAUAGGGGCACCACCCCAGAGAGGCCCCCUGAAAAACGGCCCCCACAUCCAGGGAGGGCAGCGGGCGCACAUAUUCCCCUCUCUCAGCAAGAAGAGGGAGAGACAAAAAAAAACGAGUCGGCUCUCUAUGAGGCCAUAUAUCAAAGUGGGCACUUUUUACACCCUUUCACGAACACCUAUGAGAGGGCGAGUGGGGUGCCCGCCCCCGCGGAUAUUCCCUCUCUCAGGGUGUAUAUCCCCAGUGCUGCGGAUAAAGAGCUCGUUGGGAGAUCUGCCCCCGUACACUCGCCCCCCACAAGUUGUGUGCACUGCUCCCCGGGCAUAUCUGCCGGUUCUCGUGCAGCGCUCAUCACGGGGUGCUGUGCGUGUGUGGAGAGUACACUUUGGAGAAAAUAGAGCGCUAAAACGCGCGU
Molecule: ribosomal RNA, 576 nt
Filed under: uncultured eukaryote
Lineage: Eukaryota
Description: partial 18S ribosomal RNA
Rfam family: Eukaryotic small subunit ribosomal RNA
Source: RNAcentral